AACGUAGGACGCAAACGUUAUCCGGAAUUACUGGGCGCAAAGGGCGCGCAGGCGGUUUGAUAAGGGAGGCAUGAAAGCCCCAUGGCUAAACCUGGGGAGGUUGUCUGAGACUGUCUGACUGGAGUGAGAUAGAGGGGUGUAGAAUUCCGCGUGUAGUGGUAAAAAGCGUAGAGAUGCGGAGGAAUACCAGAGGCGAAGGAGGCACCCUGGAUCGUAACCUACGCUGAGGCGCGAAAGCAUGGGUAGCGAACGGG
This 254-nucleotide ribosomal RNA is filed under the name uncultured bacterium. RNAcentral describes it as "partial 16S ribosomal RNA". It matches the Rfam family "Bacterial small subunit ribosomal RNA", at positions 524 to 776 of the family's 1533-position model. The record is from RNAcentral.